Molecule: transfer RNA, 85 nt
Filed under: Felis catus (domestic cat)
Lineage: Eukaryota; Metazoa; Chordata; Mammalia; Carnivora; Felidae
Rfam family: tRNA
About the family: Transfer RNA (tRNA) molecules are approximately 80 nucleotides in length. Their secondary structure includes four short double-helical elements and three loops (D, anti-codon, and T loops).
Source: Rfam by way of RNAcentral
GCCUGAGUGGCUCAGUCGGUUGAGCACCUGACUUUGGCUCAGGUCAUGAUCUCACCAUUCGUGAGUUCUAGCCCCACUUUGGGCU